AGCGAACGCUGGCGGCGUGCCUAACACAUGCAAGUCGAACGUGAAAAGGGAAACCUGAGUAAAGUGGCGUACGGGUGAGUAACGCGUAGGUAAUCUACCCCAGAAUCUGGAAUAACCUGCCGAAAGGCGGGCUAAUACUGGAUAGAGCGAGGGAACUCGUAAGAGAGUUUUUCGGGAAAGGGAGCCCGCAAGGGCCUUCGUUCUGGGAUGAGCCUGCGUCUCAUUAGCUAGUUGGUAAGGUAACGGCUUACCAAGGCGAUGAUGAGUAGCUGGUCUGAGAGGAUGAUCAGCCACACUGGAACUGAAACACGGUCCAGACUCCUACGGGAGGCAGCAGUGGGGAAUCUUGCGCAAUAGACGAAAGUCUGACGCAGCCACGCCGCGUGAGUGAAGAAGGCCUUCGGGUUGUAAAGCUCUGUCGGAUGGGACGAACAUCUUCAUAGUGAAUAGCUAUGAGGACUGACGGUACCAUCAAAGGAAGCACCGACUAACUCCGUG
RNAcentral lists this ribosomal RNA (498 nucleotides) under uncultured bacterium. Its description in RNAcentral is "partial 16S ribosomal RNA". It matches the Rfam family "Bacterial small subunit ribosomal RNA", at positions 29 to 507 of the family's 1533-position model. The record is from RNAcentral.